Molecule: ribosomal RNA, 227 nt
Filed under: uncultured bacterium
Lineage: Bacteria
Description: partial 16S ribosomal RNA
Rfam family: Bacterial small subunit ribosomal RNA
Source: RNAcentral
AGUAACGCGUGAGGAACCUGCCUCAAAGAGGGGGACAACAGCUGGAAACGGCUGCUAAUACCGCAUAAGCCCACGGCUCGGCAUCGAGCAGAGGGAAAAGGAGCAAUCCGCUUUGAGAUGGCCUCGCGUCCGAUUAGCUAGUUGGUGAGGUAAUGGCCCACCAAGGCAACGAUCGGUAGCCGGACUGAGAGGUUGAACGGCCACAUUGGGACUGAGACACGGCCCAG